RNAcentral lists this ribosomal RNA (476 nucleotides) under Streptococcus australis. RNAcentral describes it as "bacterial SSU rRNA". It matches the Rfam family "Bacterial small subunit ribosomal RNA", at positions 28 to 487 of the family's 1533-position model. Lineage: Bacteria; Bacillati; Bacillota; Bacilli; Lactobacillales; Streptococcaceae. The record is from RNAcentral.
GAUGAACGCUGGCGGCGUGCCUAAUACAUGCAAGUAGAACGCUGAAGGAAGGAGCUUGCUCUUUCCGGAUGAGUUGCGAACGGGUGAGUAACGCGUAGGUAACCUGCCUGGUAGCGGGGGAUAACUAUUGGAAACGAUAGCUAAUACCGCAUAACAGUAGAUGUUGCAUGACAUCUGCUUGAAAGGUGCAAUUGCACCACUACCAGAUGGACCUGCGUUGUAUUAGCUAGUUGGUGAGGUAACGGCUCACCAAGGCGACGAUACAUAGCCGACCUGAGAGGGUGAUCGGCCACACUGGGACUGAGACACGGCCCAGACUCCUACGGGAGGCAGCAGUAGGGAAUCUUCGGCAAUGGACGGAAGUCUGACCGAGCAACGCCGCGUGAGUGAAGAAGGUUUUCGGAUCGUAAAGCUCUGUUGUAAGAGAAGAACGAGUGUGAGAGUGGAAAGUUCACACUGUGACGGUAUCUACCAGA